Molecule: non-coding RNA, 113 nt
Organism: Acanthosepion pharaonis
Lineage: Eukaryota; Metazoa; Mollusca; Cephalopoda; Sepiida; Sepiidae
Source: the annotation of a GenBank genome assembly
UUACGGCCAUAUCAUGUUGGAACACCACAUCUCGAAAGAUCACGUAAGUUAACCAACGUCGAGCCUGGUCAGUAGCUAAAUGGGUGACUGCUUGGGAAUAUUAGGUGCUGUGU